Molecule: transfer RNA, 74 nt
Filed under: Nitrosotalea sinensis
Lineage: Archaea; Thermoproteati; Nitrososphaerota; Nitrososphaeria; Nitrosotaleales; Nitrosotaleaceae
Also listed under: 7 other names
Description: Candidatus Nitrosotalea sinensis tRNA
Rfam family: tRNA
About the family: Transfer RNA (tRNA) molecules are approximately 80 nucleotides in length.
Source: Rfam by way of RNAcentral
GCCGCCGUAGCUCAGCCCGGGAGAGCACUCGGCUGAAGACCGAGCUGUCGCAUGUUCAAGUCUUGCCGGCGGCA